RNAcentral lists this ribosomal RNA (492 nucleotides) under uncultured bacterium. RNAcentral's name for it is "partial 16S ribosomal RNA". It matches the Rfam family "Bacterial small subunit ribosomal RNA", at positions 29 to 507 of the family's 1533-position model. The record is from RNAcentral.
AGUGAACGCUGGCGGUAGGCCUAACACAUGCAAGUCGAACGGCAGCACAGUAAGAGCUUGCUCUUACGGGUGGCGAGUGGCGGACGGGUGAGGAAUACAUCGGAAUCUACUUUUUCGUGGGGACAAAGGUGGGGAACCUUCCCCUAUACCGCCUUAGGCCCAACGGGGGAAAGCAGGGGACCUCCGGCCCUGCGGUGAUUAAAGGGCCGAAUUUCGGAUUGGCUGGUUGGCGGGGUAAAGGCCCACCAAGCCGACGAUCCGUAGCUGGUCUGAGAGGAUGAUCAGCCACACUGGAACUGAGACACGGUCCAGACUCCUACGGGAGGCAGCAGUGGGGAAUAUUGGACAAUGGGCGCAAGCCUGAUCCAGCCAUACCGCGUGGGUGAAGAAGGCCUUCGGGUUGUAAAGCCCUUUUGUUGGGAAAGAAAAGCAGCAGGUUAAUACCCCGCUGUUCUGACGGUACCCAAAGAAUAAGCACCGGCUAACUUCGUG